GCAACCGUGAGUACACGUGGGUAAUCUUCCCUUGAGUUGGGAACAACACUUCGAAAGAGGUGCUAAUACCGAAUAAGACCACAGAGACGUAUGUCUAAGUGGUUAAAGCUAGGGACCCGCAAGGGCCUAGCGCUUAAGGAUGAGCCCGUGUCCUAUCAGCUUGUUGGUGAGGUAAUGGCUCACCAAGGCUUUUGACGGGUAGCUGGUCUGAGAGGAUAGUCAGCCACACUGGGACUGAGACACUGCCCAGACUCCUACGGGAGGCUGCAGUCGAGAAUCUUUCGCAAUGGGGGAAACCCUGACGAAGCGACGCCGCAUGGGCGAUGAGGGCCUUCGGGUUGUAAAGCCCUGUCACGAGGAACGAAUGCACAAUAGGUAAUACCUUGAGUGUUUGACGGUACCUCGAGAGGAAGCCACGGCUAACUCCGUGCCAGCAGCCGCGGUAAUACGGAGGUGGCAAGCGUUGUUCGGAUUCAUUGGGUGUAAAGGGCAUGUAGGUGGCCUUUUAAGUCGAUUGUGAAAGCCCUCAGCUUAACUGAGGAAUUGCAAUCGAUACUGAGAGGCUUGAGUACAGAAGAGGAAAGCGGAAUUCCCGGUGUAAGGGUGAAAUCUGUAGAGAUCGGGAGGAACACCAGUGGCGAAGGCGGCUUUCUGGUCUGUAACUGACACUGAAAUGCGAAAGCUAGGGGAGCAAACAGGAUUAGAUACCCUGGUAGUCCUAGCCGUGAACGAUGGG
RNAcentral lists this ribosomal RNA (736 nucleotides) under uncultured bacterium. Its description in RNAcentral is "bacterial SSU rRNA". It matches the Rfam family "Bacterial small subunit ribosomal RNA", at positions 100 to 813 of the family's 1533-position model. The record is from RNAcentral.